GAUGAAUGCUGGCGGCGUGCCUAAUACAUGCAAGUCGAGCGGUAACAUGAGAAGCUUGCUUCUUGAUGACGAGCGGCGGACGGCUGAGUAACGCGUGGGAACGGACCCUAAACUGAGGAAUAACCACUUGAAAGAGUGGCUAAUACCGCAUGUGAUCUUCGGAUUAAAGUCUUCGGACGGUUUGGGACUGGCCUGCGUAGGAUUAGAUAGUUGGUGAGGUAAUGGCUCACCAAGUCGACGAUCCUUAGAUGGUUUGAGAGGAUGAUCAUCCAGACUGGGACUGAGACACGGCCCAGACUCCUACGGGAGGCAGCAGUAGGGAAUCUUUCACAAUGGGCGAAAGCCUGAUGAAGCAACGCCGCGUGCAGGAUGACGGCCUUCGGGUUGUAAACUGCUUUUAUAAGUGAGGAAUAUGACGGUAGCUUAUGAAUAAGGAUCGGCUAACUACGUG
RNAcentral lists this ribosomal RNA (451 nucleotides) under uncultured bacterium. RNAcentral's name for it is "bacterial SSU rRNA". It matches the Rfam family "Bacterial small subunit ribosomal RNA", at positions 28 to 507 of the family's 1533-position model. The record is from RNAcentral.